UGGCUCAGAACGAACGCUGGCGGCAUGCCUAACACAUGCAAGUCGAACGGUAACGCGGGGGCAACCCUGGUGACGAGUGGCGGACGGGUGAGUAAUACGUAGGAAUCUGCCCAUUUGUGGGGGAUAACCCGGCGAAAGCCGGGCUAAUACCGCAUACGCUCUACGGAGGAAAGCAGGGGAUCGUAAGACCUUGCGCUAAUGGAUGAGCCUACGUCGGAUUAGCUAGUUGGUAGGGUAUCUUUCCUACCAAGGCAAGAUAACCAUAGCUGGUCUGAGAGGACGAUCAGCCACACUGGGA
Molecule: ribosomal RNA, 298 nt
Filed under: uncultured Pseudomonadota bacterium
Lineage: Bacteria; Pseudomonadati; Pseudomonadota
Description: uncultured proteobacterium partial 16S ribosomal RNA
Rfam family: Bacterial small subunit ribosomal RNA
Source: RNAcentral